AGAGUUUGAUCCUGGCUCAGGAUGAACGCUGGCGGCGUGCUUAACACAUGCAAGUCGAACGAUGAUGGGAGCUUGCUCCUGGAUUAGUGGCGAACGGGUGAGUAACACGUGAGUAACCUGCCCUUAACUCUGGGAUAAGCCUGGGAAACUGGGUCUAAUACCGGAUAUGACUCCUCAUCGCAUGGUGGGGGGUGGAAAGCUUUAUUGUGGUUUUGGAUGGACUCGCGGCCUAUCAGCUUGUUGGUGAGGUAAUGGCUUACCAAGGCGACGACGGGUAGCCGGCCUGAGAGGGUGACCGGCCACACUGGGACUGAGACACGGCCCAGACUCCUACGGGAGGCAGCAGUGGGGAAUAUUGCACAAUGGGCGCAAGCCUGAUGCAGCGACGCCGCGUGAGGGAUGACGGCCUUCGGGUUGUAAACCUCUUUCAGUAGGGAAGAAGCGAAAGUGACGGUACCUGCAGAAGAAGCGCCGGCUAACUACGUGCCAGCAGCCGCGGUAAUACGUAGGGCGCAAGCGUUAUCCGGAAUUAUUGGGCGUAAAGAGCUCGUAGGCGGUUUGUCGCGUCUGCCGUGAAAGCCCGCGGCUCAACUGCGGAACGGCACUGGAUACUGGCGGGCUGGAGUCUGCGAGGGGUGAGCGGAAUUCCUGGUGUAGCGGUGGAAUGCGUAGAUAUCAGGAAGAACACCGACGGCGAAGGCGGCUCACUGGCGCAGCACUGACCCUGAGGGACGAAAGCGUGGGGAGCAAACAGAAUUAGAUACCCUGGUAGUCC
RNAcentral lists this ribosomal RNA (775 nucleotides) under uncultured bacterium. Its description in RNAcentral is "bacterial SSU rRNA". It matches the Rfam family "Bacterial small subunit ribosomal RNA", at positions 8 to 796 of the family's 1533-position model. The record is from RNAcentral.